Molecule: small nucleolar RNA, 192 nt
Filed under: Trichophyton rubrum BMU01672
Lineage: Eukaryota; Fungi; Ascomycota; Eurotiomycetes; Onygenales; Arthrodermataceae
Description: CD-box snoRNA
Source: RNAcentral
UACAGAUAAAGCGCUCACGCGCUCGAUCUGUCUAGUUAAUAGUCUUAUGAACUAGACUUGCUACUAGCUCAGGCUACAAAAUCGAAGGUACUUACUGAUUGGUGAAUACGUCAUCCUCACUAGUAUUGGCAAUGUUGAAUAUCGUCCUCUAUCUAUACAACAGGCCCGAUCUAUCUAGUUAAUACGCGCAUA